RNAcentral lists this ribosomal RNA (496 nucleotides) under uncultured bacterium. RNAcentral's name for it is "partial 16S ribosomal RNA". It matches the Rfam family "Bacterial small subunit ribosomal RNA", at positions 29 to 507 of the family's 1533-position model. The record is from RNAcentral.
AUGAACGCUGGCGGCGUGCCUAAUACCUGCAAGUCGAGCGAACGGACGAGAAGCUUGCUUCUCUGAUGUUAGCGGCGGACGGGUGAGUAACACGUGGAUAACCUACCUAUAAGACUGGGAUAACUUCGGGAAACCGGAGCUAAUACCGGAUGAUAUUUUGAACCGCAUGGUUCAAAAGUGAAAGACGGUCUUGCUGUCACUUAUAGAUGGAUCCGCGCUGCAUUAGCUAGUUGGUAAGGUAACGGCUUACCAAGGCAACGAUGCAUAGCCGACCUGAGAGGGUGAUCGGCCACACUGGAACUGAGACAUGGUCCAGACUCCUACGGGAGGCAGCAGUAGGGAAUCUUCCGCAAUGGGCGAAAGCCUGACGGAGCAACGCCGCGUGAGUGAUGAAGGUCUUCGGAUCGUAAAACUCUGUUAUUAGGGAAGAACAUAUGUGUAAGUAACUGUGCACAUCUUGACGGUACCUAAUCAGAAAGCCACGGCUAACUACGUG